Long non-coding RNA from Symphalangus syndactylus (siamang), 1055 nucleotides. RefSeq lists it as uncharacterized. NCBI's taxonomy places the organism in Eukaryota, Metazoa, Chordata, Mammalia, Primates, Hylobatidae. The record is from RefSeq and is a predicted model, not a curated record.
GUGACACAUCACCUACUGGAGUGUGUGGUGCCACUCAGCAGGCACGGGUCUGACCCCAUCCUGUCACCCUGCUGCUGUGGUCAGCUGCCUCCUGCACUGUCCAAAGGAGGUCCUGAGCCAUCCACUUUCAGAAUCCAAAAGCUGACAGAGAUGGGUUGAUGAAACGAGGAACUUCUGUUCCCGGUGGCUGGAGGCAUCCUCCUCACAGCUGGUGGAGCCUACCAGAGCCGGGUUAAAAUCCCAGUGUCUCGAUCUGAGGAGCGCCUCUGCCCGGCCACCCCAUCUAGGAAGUGAGGAGCGUCUCUGCCCGGCCACCCCGUCUGGGAAGAAGUGAGGAGCGCCUCUGCCCGGCCGCCCCAUCUGGGAAGUGAGGAACCCCUCUGCCUGGCCGCCACCCCAUCUAGGAAGUAAGGAGCGUCUCUGCCUGGCCGCCCCGUCUGGGAAGAAGUGAGGAGUGCCUCUGCCCGGCCGCCCCGUCUGGGAAGUGAGGAGCACCUCUGCCUGGCCGCCCCAUCUGAGAUGUGGGGAGCGCCUCUGCCCGGCCGCCCCGUCUGGGAGGUCGACCACAGAGGCUAGAAGCAAUGUGGGGGCUGGAUGUGGUGGCUCACGCCUGUAGUCCCAGUACUCUGGGAGGCUGAGGCGGGUUGAUCACUUGAGGCUAGGAGCUCGAGACCAACCUGGCCAACAUGGCGAAACAUAUGAAAAAUACAACUGUCAAACCAACCAACGAACCAAGCGACAACAAAACAGGUCUACCCUGGAGUCAUACUCUAAUUUUUUUCUAUUUUCCCCCCUUUCUGAUCCUUUAUCCCACUUUCUUUUUCUUCCUCUUCCUUCUCCUUCUUCUUUGUCAAAUAGAGGAUUGAGUUAUUAUCAUUGAUCCAUACAAAGUCCCUCUCUCAUUUAUUUUCUUUAAUUCCCACCCCCCAUUUCUAUUCCCCGUCUUCCCAUGUGCAACCUUCCUAAUAUGUUUGAUAUGCAUCUUUUUGUUAGUAUGUACUUUUAGAAAAUGUUUAUUGUUUUGUGUGCAAAAAAAAAUAAAAAAUAAAAUAAAA